UACAGAGGGUGCGAGCGUUGUUCGGAAUUAUUGGGCGUAAAGGGCGCGUAGGCGGCGCCACAAGUCACUUGUGAAAACUCUGGGCUCAACUCAGAGCCUGCAAGCGAAACUGUGGUGCUGGAGUAUGGGAGAGGUGCGUGGAAUUCCCGGUGUAGCGGUGAAAUGCGUAGAUAUCUGGAGGAACACCGGUGGCGAAGGCGGCAUCCUGGACCAACACUGACACUGAUGAGCGAAAGCCAGGGGAGCAAACGGG
Molecule: ribosomal RNA, 253 nt
Filed under: uncultured bacterium
Lineage: Bacteria
Description: partial 16S ribosomal RNA
Rfam family: Bacterial small subunit ribosomal RNA
Source: RNAcentral